GUCUAUCUGCAGUCGACGCGCAGCGAGAGGUGCUUGCACCUUUCAAGCGAGUGGGAAGGGUGAGUAACACGUGGAUAACCUGCCUCAAGGCUGGGGAUAACAUUUGGAAACAGAUGCUAAUACCGAAUAAAACUUAGUAUCGCAUGAUAUCAAGUUAAAAGGCGCUACGGCGUCACCUAGAGAUGGAUCCGCGGUGCAUUAGUUAGUUGGUGGGGUAAAGGCUUACCAAGACAAUGAUGCAUAGCCGAGUUGAGAGACUGAUCGGCCACAUUGGGACUGAGACACGGCCCAAACUCCUACGGGAGGCUGCAGUAGGGAAUCUUCCACAAUGGGCGCAAGCCUGAUGGAGCAACGCCGCGUGUGUGAUGAAGGCUUUCGGGUCGUAAAGCACUGUUGUAUGGGAAGAAAUGCUAAAAUAGGGAAUGAUUUUAGUUUGACGGUACCAUACCAGAAAGGGACGGCUAAAUACGUGCCAGCAGCCGCGGUAAUACGUAUGUCCCGAGCGUUAUCCGGAUUUAUUGGGCGUAAAGCGAGCGCAGACGGUUGAUUAAGUCUGAUGUGAAAGCCCGGAGCUCAACUCCGGAAUGGCAUUGGAAACUGGUUAACUUGAGUGUUGUAGAGGUAAGUGGAACUCCAUGUGUAGC
This 644-nucleotide ribosomal RNA is filed under the name Leuconostoc mesenteroides. RNAcentral's name for it is "bacterial SSU rRNA". It matches the Rfam family "Bacterial small subunit ribosomal RNA", at positions 49 to 679 of the family's 1533-position model. Lineage: Bacteria; Bacillati; Bacillota; Bacilli; Lactobacillales; Lactobacillaceae. The record is from RNAcentral.